This 315-nucleotide ribosomal RNA is filed under the name uncultured eukaryote. RNAcentral describes it as "partial 18S ribosomal RNA". It matches the Rfam family "Eukaryotic small subunit ribosomal RNA", at positions 1470 to 1796 of the family's 1831-position model. The record is from RNAcentral.
CCCUUAGACGUUCUGGGCCGCACGCGCGCUACACUGACCAGUGCAACAAGCAUCCGUCCUUGGCCGACAGGCCCGGGCAAUCUUUGAACGCUGGUCGUGAUGGGGAUAGACUUUUGCAAUUUUUGGUCUUCAACGAGGAAUUCCUAGUAAACGCAAGUCAUCAACUUGCAUUGAUUACGUCCCUGCCCUUUGUACACACCGCCCGUCGCACCUACCGAUUGAAUGGUCCGGUGAAGCCUCCGGAUUGGCGCGCACCUCGGUGCCGCCGAGAAGUUGGCUAAACCUUACCAUUUAGAGGAAGGUGAAGUCGAAACA